GCGGGUGUAGCUCAUGGAGAGCGCCGGAUUUGGAUCCGGAGGCAGGGUUCGAUUCCCACACCCACGACA
This 69-nucleotide transfer RNA is filed under the name Mesorhizobium loti. RNAcentral's name for it is "tRNA-OTHER". It matches the Rfam family "tRNA". Rfam says of the family: Transfer RNA (tRNA) molecules are approximately 80 nucleotides in length. Their secondary structure includes four short double-helical elements and three loops (D, anti-codon, and T loops). Lineage: Bacteria; Pseudomonadati; Pseudomonadota; Alphaproteobacteria; Hyphomicrobiales; Phyllobacteriaceae. The record is from RNAcentral.